RNAcentral lists this ribosomal RNA (429 nucleotides) under Gemmatimonadota bacterium. Its description in RNAcentral is "Gemmatimonadetes bacterium partial 16S ribosomal RNA". It matches the Rfam family "Bacterial small subunit ribosomal RNA", at positions 355 to 776 of the family's 1533-position model. The record is from RNAcentral. Lineage: Bacteria; Pseudomonadati; Gemmatimonadota.
UAGGGAAUCUUCGGCAAUGGACGAAAGUCUGACCGAGCAACGCCGCGUGAGUGAAGAAGGUUUUCGGAUCGUAAAACUCUGUUGUUAGAGAAGAACAAGGACGUUAGUAACUGAACGUCCCCUGACGGUAUCUAACCAGAAAGCCACGGCUAACUAAGUGCCAGCAGCCGCGGUAAUACGUAGGUGGCAAGCGUUGUCCGGAUUUAUUGGGCGUAAAGCGAGCGCAGGCGGUUUCUUAAGUCUGAUGUGAAAGCCCCCGGCUCAACCGGGGAGGGUCAUUGGAAACUGGAUGACUUGAGUGCAGAAGAGGAGAGUGUAAUUCCAUGUGUAGCGGUGAAAUGCGUAGAUAUAUGGAGGAACCCCAGUGGCGAAGGCGGCUCUCUUGUCUGUAACUGACGCUGAGGCUCGAAAGCGUGGGGAACAAACAGG